Molecule: ribosomal RNA, 319 nt
Filed under: uncultured eukaryote
Lineage: Eukaryota
Description: partial 18S ribosomal RNA
Rfam family: Eukaryotic small subunit ribosomal RNA
Source: RNAcentral
CCCUUAGAUGUUCUGGGCUGCACGCGUGCUACAAUGGCGUUUCCAGCAAGUCUGUGAACCCGAGAGGGCCAGCGGAUCUUCGAAUUGGCGUCGUGAUCGGGACAGUCGAUUGCAAUUAUUUGACUCAAACGAGGAAUUCCUUGUAAUCGCGAUUCAUCAUAUCGCGCUGAAUACGUCCCUGCCCUUUGUACACACCGCCCGUCGCUCCUACCGAUUGAGCGAUCCGGUAAAUGUUUUGGAUUGGUGCCGGGGCGGCUAGCUGCCGGUCGCUACGAAAUUUUGUGAACCUUAUCGCUUAGAGGAAGGAAAAGUCGUAACA